AACCUCCGCAAUGUGAGAAAUCGCGACGGGGGGAUCCCAAGUGCCAUUCUUAACGGGAUGGCUUUUCUUAAGUGUAAAAAGCUUUUGGAAUAAGAGCUGGGCAAGACCGGUGCCAGCCGCCGCGGUAACACCGGCAGCUCUAGUGGUAGCUGUUUUUAUUGGGCCUAAAGCGUUCGUAGCCGGUUUGAUAAGUCACUGGUGAAAUCCUGUAGCUUAACUGUGGGAAUUGCUGGUGAUACUGUUGAACUUGAGGUCGGGAGAGGUUAGCGGUACUCCCAGGGUAGAGGUGAAAUUCUGUAAUCCUGGGAGGACCACCUGUGGCGAAGGCGGCUAACUGGAACGAACCUGACGGUGAGGGACGAAAGCUAGGGGCGCGAACCGGAUUAGAUACCCGGGUAGUCCUAGCGUAAACGAUGCGGACUUGGUGUUGGGAUGGCUUUGAGCCGCUCCGGUGCCGAAGGGAAGCUGUUAAGUCCGCCGCCUGGGAAGUACGUCGCAAGACUGAAACUUAAAGGAAUU
Molecule: ribosomal RNA, 519 nt
Filed under: uncultured bacterium
Lineage: Bacteria
Description: bacterial SSU rRNA
Rfam family: Archaeal small subunit ribosomal RNA
Source: RNAcentral